GAUCAUUAUCGNACAAUCGAGGUGCAAGGGCUGUCGCUGACCUUCNNGGUCGNGCACGCCCGAGCAACUCCCACACAUCCAUCUCACCCCCUUGUGCAUCACCGCGUGGGCCCUCCCUUUGCAGGAGGGCUUGCGUUUUCACAUAAAACUUUGAUACGGCGUAGAAUGUUUUCUUUUGCGGUCACACGCAAUCAAUACAACUUUCAACAACGGAUCUCUUGGCUCUCGCAUCGAUGAAGAACGCAGCGAAAUGCGAUACGUAAUGUGAAUUGCAGAAUUCAGUGAAUCAUCGAAUCUUUGAACGCACCUUGCGCCCCUUGGCAUUCCGAGGGGCACACCCGUUUGAGUGUCGUGAAAUCAUCAAAAACCUUUUUCUUUUUUUGAAAAGGAUUUUUUUGGACUUGGAGGUUCCAUGCUUGCUUUCGCCUUUGAAAGUGAGCUCCUCUCAAAUAAAUUANUGGGGNCCGCUUUGCUGAUCCUUGAUGUGAUAAAGAUGUUUCUACAUCUUGGAUUUAGCACAGUCUUUUGGACACCUGCUCCCAACCGUCCCUUGGACAAUGAUGGGUGCUCCUGGUCACUGCCAUCUUAUAUUGGCGGGAGGCUGGACCCACGAAAGAAAACCUUGACCUCAAAUCGGGUGAGACUACCCGCUGAACUUAAGCAUAUCAAUAAGCGGAGG
Molecule: small RNA, 679 nt
Filed under: uncultured fungus
Lineage: Eukaryota; Fungi
Description: eukaryotic LSU rRNA
Rfam family: 5.8S ribosomal RNA (bases 199-352)
Source: RNAcentral